This 253-nucleotide ribosomal RNA is filed under the name uncultured bacterium. Its description in RNAcentral is "partial 16S ribosomal RNA". It matches the Rfam family "Bacterial small subunit ribosomal RNA", at positions 524 to 776 of the family's 1533-position model. The record is from RNAcentral.
UACAGAGGGGGCAAGCGUUGUUCGGAAUUACUGGGCGUAAAGGGCGCGUAGGCGGCCGCCUAAGUCAGACGUGAAAUCCCUCGGCUCAACCGGGGAACUGCGUCUGAUACUGGGUGGCUUGAAUCCGGGAGAGGGAUGCGGAAUUCCAGGUGUAGCGGUGAAAUGCGUAGAGAUGUGGAGGAACACCAGUGGCGAAGGCGACUCUUUGGUCUGUAACUGACGCUGAGGCGCGAAAGCGUGGGGAGCAAACAGG